GAUGAACGCUGGCGGCGUGCUUAACACAUGCAAGUCGAACGGAACUACUCCAAUGAUAGUCUUCGGAAAGGAUUUGGGUUAGUUUAGUGGCGGACGGGUGAGUAACGCUGUGGGAAUCUGCGAUAUACAGGGGGAUAACAGUUGUAAACGACUGUUAAUACAGCAUAAGCGCACAGGAGCGCAUGCCCCUGUGUGAAAGAAUCCGGUGGUAGAGGAUGGCCCCUCGUGUGAUUAGCUGGUUGGCGGGUUAACGUCACACCAAGGCGACGAUCAGUAGCCGGCAUGAGAGGGUGAACGGCCACAUUGGGACGAGGACACGGCACAAAGUCCUACGGGAGGCAGCAGUGGGGAAUAUUGCAAAAGGGGGGAAACCCUGAUGCAGCGACGCCGCGUGAGCGAAGAAGUAUAUCGGUAUGUAAAGCUCUAUCAGCAGGGAAGAAAAUGACGGUACCUGACUAAAAAGCCCCGGCUAACUACGUG
Molecule: ribosomal RNA, 480 nt
Filed under: uncultured bacterium
Lineage: Bacteria
Description: partial 16S ribosomal RNA
Rfam family: Bacterial small subunit ribosomal RNA
Source: RNAcentral